This 489-nucleotide ribosomal RNA is filed under the name uncultured bacterium. Its description in RNAcentral is "partial 16S ribosomal RNA". It matches the Rfam family "Bacterial small subunit ribosomal RNA", at positions 30 to 506 of the family's 1533-position model. The record is from RNAcentral.
AUUGAACGCUGGCGGCAGGCCUAACACAUGCAAGUCGAACGGUAACAGGAAACAGCUUGCUGUUUCGCUGACGAGUGGCGGACGGGUGAGUAAUGUCUGGGAAACUGCCUGAUGGAGGGGGAUAACUACUGGAAACGGUAGCUAAUACCGCAUAACGUCGCAAGACCAAAGAGGGGGACCUUCGGGCCUCUUGCCAUCGGAUGUGCCCAGAUGGGAUUAGCUUGUUGGUGGGGUAACGGCUCACCAAGGCGACGAUCCCUAGCUGGUCUGAGAGGAUGACCAGCCACACUGGAACUGAGACACGGUCCAGACUCCUACGGGAGGCAGCAGUGGGGAAUAUUGCACAAUGGGCGCAAGCCUGAUGCAGCCAUGCCGCGUGUAUGAAGAAGGCCUUCGGGUUGUAAAGUACUUUCAGCGGGGAGGAAGGGAGUAAAGUUAAUACCUUUGCUCAUUGACGUUACCCGCAGAAGAAGCACCGGCUAACUCCGU